RNAcentral lists this unclassified non-coding RNA (373 nucleotides) under uncultured Sphingobacteriales bacterium. RNAcentral describes it as "contains 16S-23S intergenic spacer region". The record is from RNAcentral. Lineage: Bacteria; Pseudomonadati; Bacteroidota; Sphingobacteriia; Sphingobacteriales.
UCCGGUUUGGCACCGGCAGUCUUCCCAGAGUCCCCGGCUUUACCCGCUGGUAACUGAGAACAAGGGUUGCGCUCGUUGCGGGACUUAACCCAACACCUCACGGCACGAGCUGACGACAGCCAUGCAGCACCUAGUUUCGCGCCCUUGCGGGAAGCUCCCUUUCAGGAGCGGUCGCUAACUUUCAAGCCCUGGUAAGGUUCCUCGCGUACCAUCGAAUUAAACCACGUGCUCCUCCGCUUGUGCGGGCCCCCGUCAAUUCCUUUGAGUUUCACCGUUGCCGGCGUACUCCCCAGGUGGAUCACUUAACGCUUUCGCUUAGCCGCGUACUGUAUAUCGCACACAGCGAGUGAUCAUAGGUUACAGUGUGGACUAC